Lemur catta (Ring-tailed lemur) is the source of this 107-nucleotide small nuclear RNA. The record is from RefSeq and is a predicted model, not a curated record. Lineage: Eukaryota; Metazoa; Chordata; Mammalia; Primates; Lemuridae.
GUGCUCGCUUCGGCAGCACAUACACUAAAUUUGGAACGAUACAGAGAAGAUUAGCAUGGCCCCUGCACAAGGAUGACAAGCAAAAUCCUGAAGCGUUCCAUAUUAAA